AAGAAGCUCUGAUCAACCAUGGUUAGCUGCAAGAAUUGGGCAUGACCCCUCAAAUCGGAGCACACACCUAGUUCCUUGAAGGUACCUACAGACAGAUGAAGAAUCUUAAUGAGCAGAGAGAACACACGCAUGCCAACGUCUUCAUCAGUUACAUUAAACAAAGAUGAGACUGCCCCUUGGUUUGCAAUCAAGGUUACAAAAUGAGACGAGGAAACGCCCCUCAAGUGCCCAGUUACUUUUGAAGAGAGAAGUGAAACUUAGAGCACAUCAUUCAGUUGCUGAAAUGAGAAGAUGGCAUUCAUGGAAUUUCUGGUGGAGACUGGCCAGCUGUCCACUAACCCUGCUUCCUCGCCUUCCUGGACACGCAGCAAACUACACUUCCCAGCCUCCCUGGCAGUUAGACAUGGUCAUGUGACUGAGUUGUAGCCAGUGUAGCUGGCAAGCAUAUUUCAUGACCUUGAUCCUUCUGGAUCGAAUAACAUGGCAACCUUCCAAAGGUCUUUGUUGAUCACGGUGAACCCACAGGAUGGAAGGAGCCUGGGUUCCUGGAUCACUACUUGGCAGAGAGUCACUUGCUGAUGAGAACACCUGUUUUGGAUUUUACGUUAAUGAAAAACAAAUUGGUAUUGUAUUUGAGACAUUACACACUUAUGCUGUAUUACAGUCUUCUGUAUACAAUACAGAAAGUUCUGGUGAAUCCAUUUCCCAACAAAACCAUCUUUUCCCAUCAAAAACCAACACUCCUUCCGAAGACAAGAUUUCCUCCCAACAGGUUCAAACUUCCAGCCACAUACAUAUUAACUGAUCGGCAUGAAGCAAGUCAAUGAGCAAGGGUGGAAUUCAUAGCUAUUUAUUUUAUUGUUGUGAUGAUAAUAAAUAUAAUAGGUACAGCUUCCUUGGGAAUAAUCUUGCUAUUAGUGAUAAUGGGUGAAAGGCUGUGGCAUGUGAUUUGGGUGAGUGUCCUGUGUUCAUGGGGAACAUUCAAGGCUGCUAAUCUGGGCUGUAAUUUCUCAUUUCUCCUCAACUGCUUUGCUUUUUAUGGAACUUAUAUUGAUGAAUGCAGGUGAUAACUGUCAGUUCACCUGGUAAAGCCCAGCGUGAGAAGUUUAACAAUUUAUCUCAUGUAUCCUGAAGGCAGUAGGGGAGAGAGAGAGAGACAGAGAGAGAGAGAGAGAGAGGCUCUAGGCCUCGAACAGGUUCAGCCCACCCUUGUCUCCACACGUCCACCCUUGGCUCUCAGCUCCCCCCCCCCCCAAUCUAUUUUCCUCCUCGUGUUUUGCCAGAUUUGUAGUUUUCUCAUGGUAAAUCAAAUUAUAUCACUCCUCUUCUCAAAAUGCCUCAAUGGCUUCUUAUCUAAUUUAAAUAUAAGCAAGAAGUCUUCUUGGGAUUUCCAUUUGUCAUUCUCCCGGGAGCCGUGCCUUUCGCUGUGUCAUUCUGCAGUGUCCUCCCCUCUGAGUUCAGGCAUGUGAUACGUUUUGGGCGAUGGAAUGUGACAGAAAGGAUGGAUACACCGCUUCUGAGUCUGGACUUCAAGAGGCUUUACAUAUUUUGAGUUGCUUUGUUGUGCCGUGAGAAACUCGCACCUGGUCUAGCCCUGCUGGUCCCAGGAGGAUGAGACACACAUGGAAGAGAAUCAUCCUAACGAAAGCCCCCCAGCCGGGUCAGCAUAGGGCAGAAGCCCCAGCUGAUGCUUCAGCAAACCAUCCAGCCCAUGGACACAAGAGGAAGCCCCUCCGAGGGGACCGGCAAGGCCAGCAAGAUGGCAUAGCCACACCCAGCCUGGUUCUGCUCAGCCCCAAACACAGGAGAGAAAUAAACAUUUUUUGCUCUAAGCCAUCGUCUGGGGCACGCUUAGUUACACAGCCACAACAACCAAAGCACUGACCUACGGUUCAUUUUCUAAGCUCAAAUGACUUGCUUAAUCUCAUCUCAUUCUAAAGUUCUAAUAUGCUCUCUGUUUUUACCAACCACACCGGCCUUCCUUUGGUUCCAAAUGUGACAAGCUUUCUCCUGUCCUGAAGUCUCUGUGCGUAUAGUUGUCCCUUAAUGGAGCAAUGCCACUGCUCUACACUCUCCCCACAUAGUUGGCCACUGCUCACCAUCCGCAUUUCUACUCAAACGCAGUCCAAGAGAAACCCCUACAACGAUGCCAUCUGAACUUGGCCUCCAUGGUCACUCUCUCUGGGGCAUCCUGGCGUGCUGCACAUGGCUUACAGACACGGAAUGCUCUGGCUCCACCUCGGGGUGUUGCAUCUUCCAGGUGCCAGCCAGAGCCAUCUCAUCCAUUAAAUUCAGUUGUGCUGAACGAAUUUUCUGUGUAUACCCUGACGGGAAAAACCUGGCAAUUGCUGCUUACAUCACUACGCUUACUUUUUUUUUUCCAUGUCACUUGCUACGGCCUCAAAGUAUCCUUUUGCCUUAAAAAAAUAAUAAUUUUUUCGUAUAGAUUGUCUGCCUCAACCCAUGAGACUAAGGGCUGGCAAAAUCAUACCUGUUGCCUGUUCUUAUAAAGUUUUAUUGGCACACAGCCACGCCCACUCA
Molecule: long non-coding RNA, 2541 nt
Organism: Mustela lutreola (European mink)
Lineage: Eukaryota; Metazoa; Chordata; Mammalia; Carnivora; Mustelidae
Exons: 2
Source: RefSeq, a predicted model, not a curated record